CAGCCGCGGUAAUACGGAGGGUGCAAGCGUUAUCCGGAUUUAUUGGGUUUAAAGGGUCCGUAGGCGGAUCUGUAAGUCAGUGGUGAAAUCUCACAGCUUAACUGUGAAACUGCCAUUGAUACUGCAGGUCUUGAGUGUUGUUGAAGUAGCUGGAAUAAGUAGUGUAGCGGUGAAAUGCAUAGAUAUUACUUAGAACACCAAUUGCGAAGGCAGGUUACUAAGCAACAACUGACGCUGAUGGACGAAAGCGUGGGGAGCGAACAGGAUUAGAUACCCUGGUAGUCCACGCCGUAAACGAUGCUAACUCGUUUUUGGUUUUUCGGAAUCAGAGACUAAGCGAAAGUGAUAAGUUAGCCACCUGGGGAGUACGUUCGCAAGAAUGAAACUCAAAGGAAUUGACGGGGGCCCGCACAAGCGGUGGAUUAUGUGGUUUAAUUCGAUGAUACGCGAGGAACCUUACCAAGGCUUAAAUGGGAAAUGACAGGUUUAGAAAUAGACUUUUCUUCGGACAUUUUUCAAGGUGCUGCAUGGUUGUCGUCAGCUCGUGCCGUGAGGUGUUAGGUUAAGUCCUGCAACGAGCGCAACCCCUGUCACUAGUUGCCAUCAUUAAGUUGGGGACUCUAGUGAGACUGCCUACGCAAGUAGAGAGGAAGGUGGGGAUGACGUCAAAUCAUCACGGCCCUUACGCCUUGGGCCACACACGUAAUACAAUGGCCGGUACAGAGGGCAGCUACACAGCGAUGUGAUGCAAAUCUCGAAAGCCGGUCUCAGUUCGGAUUGGAGUCUGCAACUCGACUCUAUGAAGCUGGAAUCGCUAGUAAUCGCGCAUCAGCCAUGGCGCGGUGAAUACGUUCCCGGGCCUUGU
This 865-nucleotide ribosomal RNA is filed under the name uncultured Bacteroidota bacterium. RNAcentral describes it as "bacterial SSU rRNA". It matches the Rfam family "Bacterial small subunit ribosomal RNA", at positions 512 to 1384 of the family's 1533-position model. The record is from RNAcentral. Lineage: Bacteria; Pseudomonadati; Bacteroidota.